This is a long non-coding RNA of Canis lupus familiaris (dog), 3370 nucleotides long. RefSeq lists it as uncharacterized. The record is from RefSeq and is a predicted model, not a curated record. The transcript has 3 exons. NCBI's taxonomy places the organism in Eukaryota, Metazoa, Chordata, Mammalia, Carnivora, Canidae.
GUGUCUCCUUACAAAGGGUAGAGAGACCCCUCCUCCCCGAAGCCGUGCUCUGACCCGGGAAGCAGGGCUGAUGGCUUCAUUGAGUUUAACGCGAACUCCAAUCGGAGAGGCAAAACGCGAACACGAUUAUCUAAUCGCAUUUACAUAAAGGAUCCAUACGAAAGGCUUUUGUGAGGCAAGGGAAGAAUCUCAGAAGCUUUCCUCUGGCCUCUUCUUGCCUGCUGUCUCUGCCCAUCUUCUGCCCCAGGAUGCAGCCACCUGCCUCCCCCACCACAGAAUAUCUUCAACACUGUUCUCAAACACACAAGCAGCCAAACUGGUUAACCAUCUGCACAGAAAUUGGAAGUUCAUGGUGAUGUCUAACCAUAGGAAGAAGGGAAAGGAGGAGGAGGAGAAGAAGAUAAGAAGAUAAAGGGCUAAAAUGCAUCUUUUCCCCGCCCUACAGAGCAAGGUUCAAAGUCUUUUCUACCUGAGUUCAAAGCGGAGCCUGUCCCAUCAGUAAUUGGCAAACGCUUCGAGCACCUAUUCUGGGCUGGCACUGGAGGUAUACUGGCAAACAAGCCAGACUAGGCAAACACUCACCCCUACAGCACUGAGGCUCCCGGCUGCAGUGGCAGCCUGCUGGUGGAGGUACCUAGUGCGGUAAUAGUGUGACACAUUUAGUUGGACACUGAGGGAACAGAAAGGAGGGCAGAGGGCUGGAGCAAAGUACUCAGAGGUAGUACAGUGGUAGGAGGUGAAGUUGGAAGGGAAGGCAGGCCCAGAUCUUGCAGAACUUAGUACUCCUAUGUAAGGAGCUGGAAUUUUAAGUCCAAUGAAAAACAAUCACAGGGUUUUAAGCCAGGGAGAGGCAUGAGCUGAUUUACAUCUCUAAACACCACUCCAGCUGUUAUGUGGCUAAUGGACUGUAGCAUUAUCUAGAGAGGACUCUUCUUGGCGUGAGGAAAAGCAAUCCAUUCUUGAUCUGGAGUCGACAUCCCCAUUCUGGACUUUAAAUUGCCCCAGGAGGGAACACUGGUAGGAAGUAGUUAGUCCACCCAGUCUAGCUUGAGGGUACUACUGAUUUUUGGCCUUUAGGUUUACAAAUCAGUAUCUUCUGACUUCUUUGGAAUGAACCUCUGGGCAAGUGGACACAAAUUAGUUUCUGAGCCCACAAAGCUCUGAACUAGAUUCUGUCCAAAGUUCCACCCACCUGUGAGGUCGUAUGAACAGGUCAGAGCCCAUAAACCCCUCCCAGCUGCAGCCAUGUGCUUUAAAAUAUUCUCAUGUUUAUGGAUUGAAAAAAAUGAGUGAAUGAAUGAACAAGUGAAAAACAAAUACAUGGCUGGCAGGUUGGCUAGAAUGGUGGGUGGAAGGAAUCAGUGUGUAUAUGUGUGUGUGUAUGUGUGUGUGUGUGUGUGUGUGUGUGUGCAUGGAGCAAGAGAAAGUUUGGGCAAAUUAGAGAUAGACAGGGUAAGGUCUCAGAGAAUAGGGAGAAGACAAAUCAAGAGGGCCAGUGGAGAUGUUAAUCUGGCCCCCCUACUGAUUCUGGAAGAUUCCUCAAUAAGCCUUCCAGUCUCUUUGGUUGCCUGGACACCUGCACAAAUGACGUGAAGCAAGUGGUCACCAUCUCCUCGAGUCCUUUGCUCUUGGAGGGCAAGUUCAAUCAUCCUCUCUUCAGACUCUACAGCUACAUUCACCCCUCCCUGGGCCUACAGAUUUUCCACCCCUCCCCAUGACCGCCUUCCAGCUCUGGGUAGGGUUAGGAGGACCCAGGGAUGCUAGGUGAGGGUUCCCUGUGGGGCCAGAGCCCUCCCACCCCCAUUGCAAGGCUAGUCCUCUGACUCUCAGGGACCCACUUGCACAAAGAUGGGGUUAGAUGGUACCAAAAAGCCUCAUCUGACCAAGUCAUCAUCCCCCACUUCCACAUUGUGCCUCAAGAAGGGAAUCCAAGACCCAAUACAACACCUUCAACUGGGCAGCACUCUGGGCCUCCAGAGAAAAAAAGCUUUGUAGGGAACAUGUCACUGGCUUAGCAAGACCAGGAAACAGAUAACUCAGUCCCACCAUUUUGCUGUGAGCCCACUCUGCUGGGAAAAUCUGGCUUUUCUGAUUCUGGUGGGAAGUCCCACUCUGCUCUGUUAGCCAAAGGCCAAGGCACCAGUAACAAGAAGAUGCAGGCCCUGAAAGCAUUCUGUGAGGUUUGCUUUUGUUCUCAUGCAAGGUUUCCAGCAGGAGAUAAAUGCUUUCCACAUGGCCUGAGAGUGGAGGAGGCUUCUUUCCACUUGCUUUUGAUCCUUAGACACUGUAGCGUGUAAACAAUCAUCAUCCCACAGACAGUUUCCAGAAACAGAACCUCGCUUACUGACCUCCUACCCCCACCUCUGAACAAGACAACCAUGUUCCCACACCACCCUGCACCACCCCACUGGCUGACGACCCAGGAGCCAUGCCCCUAAGUCCCCAGGGAGCUCAUGAUCCAGAGAGAAAAGGCGUGAAGCAAAGGAUGCCCUGGAUGGCCAUUUUCUGUGGUCCCUUGGGCUCCCUGCCCAAAACUGUCUUCCUCAGAACCCUCUGGGCUCCACGAGUGCCCUGAGACAGACCACAGCCCUCCCCUCCUACUAGCGUGAAAUCAGAUUCAAACACACACACCCGCUGGUGGGGGAUGAACGUUCUCAUUGAUGGCGGUGGACACAUGGAUUAUUACAGAUUUACUCUCUUUCUGUAGUCAAUUUGUAAUACAUAAACAUAAAAAUAUUCCCUUAAAAUGAAUAUACUCUUUGAUGAAGCAUUUCUGCUUCUAGGAAUCUAUCCCAGAAAAUCAGCCAGAAUGUGGCAAAAGGAAAAAAAUUUAGAAAAAGCUUAAGUGCCCAACAAUAGAGGGUUAAGUGGUCUCUUGUACUUUCAGUCAACACUUACAUACUCUUAUCAGACAUAAUUUUUGAGUUCACAUCCUGCUAUAUUUGUUUAUAAUAAGUUAUAUAUGCAUACAACUGAACUAAAAAUGGUGUGCACACUACAAAACGUACAGUAUGGAAAUUUUAACCAAUAUUCUAAAUUUUUUAUUUUACUCAUUAAUACUACAGAAACAUUUUGGCUUAGAGUAACAUGAUUUUGGAUAUGUGCCAUUAUUUCUCAAAAUCUUAUCUCAACACUUGGUGAUACAAUAAUUAAAAGGCCAAUAUAUUUUUAUACUUGGUUAUAAGAGUUGUCAUAAUUGAAAACAAUCUUUUAUAAAGACAGAUACAAAUAGAGGAAAAGCAUAAUUGGGAACACAUUAAAAAAUUUAUUUUUCAUUCUCAUAUGCUAAGUAUACAGAGAUUUUUUUUAACCUUUUAGAUUUAUUUUUUAAUAAUAUUUUUUAUUGGUGUUCCAUUUGCCAACAUACAGA